GAGUAACUAUGACUCUCUUAGGCACGCCUAGGAGGAAACAGUCACGGGAAGGCACUCGUAGGCUAGUGGGGUGGGCAGUAGUUUGCAUGGCUCACCCUGCGAGACCGUCAAAUUGCGGGAAAGGGGUCGCACAGCCGUCUGGUACCAACCUAUCGGAGAAAUCCUUUAGGGGCCUUGCACAAGGAGGUAAUAAGCCAGCGGACAUGGUCCCAACCUGCAGCCAAGUCCUAACCACCCUUUGAUAAGUCCUUAGCUCAAAAUGGCGAGCUAAGGGUAUAAGGUUGUAUGGAUGCAGUUCACAGACUAGAUGGGGGUCGGGGGUCUUCGGACCCCUUAAGGUAUAGUCGGCCCUUCCCUUAAUGGGGACCUGGGGAGGAGGUGAUGCAACACCAGAACCCUGGGGAGGUCUUCGACCUUUGGAUCCAAGCGUAAGGUAGCCAAAUGCCUCGUCAUCGUACAAAAGAAACGACUCGUCAUCGUAUAAACAGACUCUCGUCAUCGUACAAAGAAACGACUCGUCAUCGUAUAAACAGACUCUCGUCAUCGUACAAAGAAACGACUCGUCAUCGUAUAAACAGACUCUCGUCAUCGUACAUUGUGAUAGCCGAAGGCGUGCUUUGUCCCUGGACGUACCCGAUGACAAGGGGCGAAGGGGAUGAAGUCGUCUUUAGGGUUAAAAUGCAGGAAGGGGAGGGGACCCGCUACUCCGGUGAUGGGGAACCGUUUGACCCGACCAGCAGCCAAGCCUCUUAUCUAGAAUACCUCCUUUAUACCCUUACGUAGGAUUUGAUUGACCGUUCGGGGAACUGGGGGAUUCGGUAAGGCGGAAGGUGCAGAGACUAGAAAGCCCGAAGGCGAAAAGGAUAGUCCACCAGACUUGGGACAGCAGAGACGUGUGGCUUGUCGCUUAGGCGGCAUGGGCCAGUGGCCUCAUAUUGCUCAACCGGUCGAUUAAAAGCAUGGGGGAGCCGUCACCCCCGGUGUUAAUUUGUGACGCGCAUGAAUGGAUUAAUGAGAUUCCCACUGUCCCUACCUACUAUCUAGCGAAACCACAGCCAAGGGAACGGGCUUGGCACAAUUAGCGGGGAAAGAAGACCCUGUUGAGCUUGACUCUAGGCACAGAAGCGAGGUGAUUCUAAAGGUGUAGCAUAGGUGGGAGGGCCCAGCCCGUCCAUGAAAUACCACCACUUUCGGCAUUGCUUUGCUAAUGCUGUAACGAACGAACGACACCCAAGGGGCUUUACGCACCUAGGGUAAGUCAUAUUCUAGCGUUUUCCAGGCACGUACGAUGGUCAAACCCCUCUGGGUGAGUACCUCGAGACCACAAACUGGGCUUCCGGGUCUGGUGCGUGUUGCUCUUGGGGGAACUGGAGGUCGUGCGACUGUCCUCUGCGGGCAUUAAACUGGUACGUAAUCCGUGUAGCAGACACUCUGUGUUGGGGAGUUUGGCUGGGGCGGAAAACUGCUACACGGCAACGGCAGUCUCCUAAGGUCCACUCAGAGACGACAGAAACGUCUCGUAGAGCAUAAAGGCAAAAGUGGGCUUAACUCACGUUUUCAGUAGUAAUGUGAAGCAAGAAAUUGCGGCUUAACGAUCCUUAGCAGCGGGUGCCAGCCCAYGCUUGAGGUGAGAGAAAAGUUACCACAGGGAUUGAUAAAGGUAACGGGGGAGAGAUAGGAGUAGCGAACCAUCCUCCCCUAACAGUUCCAAACGAACACACGAAGGUACGACCGAAAGUGCAUAAGGAGGAUUCUAACUGUGACCUAUGCACUUAGGUACGACCGAACCAACCGACCUAAGCGCACAAGGAGGAUUCAGACUAUGGCCUUGUGCGUUAAGGGAGGAACCCCCCCCCUAACCCGAAGCGCGUAAGAGAGGAUUUAAGCUAUGGCCUUAUGCGCUGAGGGCGGGGGGAUCGACUGAAUGCAUAAGGAGGGUUCUAUGACCUAUGCACGAUGUCAAAGAAUCAGUUAUAACCUUAGGGCGAGGCGCAGGUUGCCCUAAGGUAUAAGCGACGCGCCUGGAUGCUGGGAAGGUCUAUAGGUGAAAAGGGGGUUUUUUUGGCAGCCCUAAGUAACCUUAAACGGCAGUGGUACCAAUCGUAUCCCGGUAACACCGGGACGAAGACUCCUCCUCAAGAGCGUAAUGAAAAAGGCCUUGGGGGAAUGGGGGGGUAGCAAUCCACUAGCGCGGGACCCAUCAGCAGGCAACGAGGCACCCCAAAAGGCAAAGGAUACUGAGUAACCCCUGGGCAAGGGUAACCAGGCUCCGAACGCCAUAAUGGUAACGGGUGUUAAGUGCUUCAAGGACUGGUAAGGUGCGGGCUCCGUUUGACCUUGUCUACACUAAGGGGGGGAGGGAAACAAUGAUACCCCCUCCCUUAAGGCAAGGAUCUUCCUGGGCUUAAGGUACAGUCUCAAGCGGACCUCUAGUAACGGCUGGUAACCGUGAAAGGGGUCUCCUUACCUCACAAUCCCACGACUGCAGGGAAGGGGUAGGGGAGUCUUUUAUAAAGCCUUUCCCUUAAAGGAGGGGGGGGAAGGUAAGGCUUGCUCUCUAAAAAGCGUGGAGGAGUUCGACCCUACGCGAUUAACUCGGAACUGGCUUGUGGCCGCCAAGCGUUCAUAGCGACGUGGC
Molecule: ribosomal RNA, 2638 nt
Filed under: Fuligo septica
Lineage: Eukaryota; Evosea; Eumycetozoa; Physariida; Physaraceae
Description: partial 28S ribosomal RNA
Rfam family: Eukaryotic large subunit ribosomal RNA (bases 1-1715)
Source: RNAcentral